UACGGGGGGGGCAAGCGUUGUUCGGAAUUACUGGGCGUAAAGGGCGCGUAGGCGGCCUGCUAAGUCGGACGUGAAAUCCCUCGGCUCAACCGAGGAACUGCGUCCGAUACUGGUGGGCUUGAAUCCGGGAGAGGGAUGUGGAAUUCCAGGUGUAGCGGUGAAAUGCGUAGAUAUCAGGAGGAACACCGGUGGUGUAGACGGCUUUCUGGACCGUAACUGACGCUGAGACACGAAAGCGUGGGUAGCAAACAGG
RNAcentral lists this ribosomal RNA (253 nucleotides) under uncultured prokaryote. RNAcentral describes it as "partial 16S ribosomal RNA". It matches the Rfam family "Bacterial small subunit ribosomal RNA", at positions 524 to 776 of the family's 1533-position model. The record is from RNAcentral.